GACGAACGCUGGCGGCGUGCUUAACACAUGCCAGUCGAACGGAAAGGCCCUGCUUUUGUGGGGUGCUCGAGUGGCGAACGGGUGAGUAACACGUGAGUAACCUGCCCUUGACUUUGGGAUAACUUCAGGAAACUGGGGCUAAUACCGGAUAGGAGCUCCUGCUGCAUGGUGGGGGUUGGAAAGUUUCGGCGGUUGGGGAUGGACUCGCGGCUUAUCAGCUUGUUGGUGGGGUAGUGGCUUACCAAGGCUUUGACGGGUAGCCGGCCUGAGAGGGUGACCGGCCACAUUGGGACUGAGAUACGGCCCAGACUGCUACGGGAGGCAGCAGUGGGGAAUAUGGCACAAUGGGCGGAAGCCUGAUGCAGCAACGCCGCGUGCGGGAUGACGGCCUUCGGGUUGUAAACCGCUUUCGCCUGUGACGAAGCGUGAGUGACGGUAAUGGGUAAAGAAGCACCGGCUAACUACGUG
RNAcentral lists this ribosomal RNA (468 nucleotides) under uncultured bacterium. RNAcentral's name for it is "partial 16S ribosomal RNA". It matches the Rfam family "Bacterial small subunit ribosomal RNA", at positions 28 to 507 of the family's 1533-position model. The record is from RNAcentral.